This 252-nucleotide ribosomal RNA is filed under the name uncultured bacterium. RNAcentral's name for it is "partial 16S ribosomal RNA". It matches the Rfam family "Bacterial small subunit ribosomal RNA", at positions 524 to 776 of the family's 1533-position model. The record is from RNAcentral.
UACAGAGGUCCCAAGCGUUGUUCGGAUUCACUGGGCGUAAAGGGUGCGUAGGCGGUGAGGUAAGUUUGACGUGAAAUCUCCGGGCUCAACCCGGAACUGCGUUGAAUACUAUCUCGCUAGAGGAAUGGAGGGGAGACUGGAAUACUUGGUGUAGCAGUGAAAUGCGUAGAUAUCAAGUGGAACACCAGUGGCGAAGGCGAGUCUCUGGACAUUUCCUGACGCUGAGGCACGAAAGCCAGGGGAGCAAACGGG